This 406-nucleotide ribosomal RNA is filed under the name uncultured bacterium. RNAcentral's name for it is "partial 16S ribosomal RNA". It matches the Rfam family "Bacterial small subunit ribosomal RNA", at positions 30 to 526 of the family's 1533-position model. The record is from RNAcentral.
AUUGAACGCUGGCGGCAGGCCUAACACAUGCAAGUCGAACGAGUGGCGGACGGGUGAGUAAUGUCUGGGAAACUGCCUGAUGGAGGGGGAUAACGACUGGAAACGGUAGCUAAUACCGCAUACCAGCGGAUGUGCCCAGAUGGGAUUAGCUAGUAGGUGGGGUAAAGGCUCACCUAGGCGACGAUCCCUAGCUGGUCUGAGAGGAUGACCAGCCAACCGUGAACGGAGACAGAGUCCAGACUCCUACGGGAGGCAGCAGUGGGGAAUAUUGGACAAUGGGCGCAAGCCUGAUGCAGCCAUGCCGCGUGUAUGAAGAAGGCCUUCGGGUUGUAAAAUACUUUCAGCGGGGAGGCGUUACCCGCAGAAGAAGCACCGGCUAACUCCGUGCCAGCCGCCGCGGUAAUAC